Neoarius graeffei (lesser salmon catfish) is the source of this 554-nucleotide non-coding RNA. Lineage: Eukaryota; Metazoa; Chordata; Actinopteri; Siluriformes; Ariidae. The record is from the annotation of a RefSeq genome assembly.
ACACUGUCUGGGUGGGAGGAGUUAUGAUAUCACAUCAAAAAUCAUUGAUGAGAAUCUAUAUAACCUUACACGGUCUGAGUUCAGUCUGUCGUCUUAGCAUUAAGAGAGAUGAUACGAAUUAUAAUCGUGUUUCAGUCACUGUGCUGGAUUCAAGGAGUUCAGGGAGCGAAUGAUGUCUCUCAGCCCAAUGCACUUUGGGCUAAAAAGGGCCAAUCAGCCACAAUAACCUGCUCACACACCAAGGGUGCACUUUACAAUCAAAUGUACUGGUUCUGUCAGUAUCGUGGAAAGAGCAUGGAGCUUAUAGUGCUCACGAACACCUUCAGCAAUCCAGACUUUGGAAAAUUCAACCAGAAUAAAUUUUCAGUGAAUAAAACAGUUCCUGAGGAAGGAUUCUUCACAGUGAAGGAUGUGGAUUAUAAUGACAGCGCUGUGUAUUUCUGUGCUGUGAGAGAACACAGUGUUAUAACCACAGGGCAGAGCUGUACAAAAACACACGGUGUGUCAGUCAGGAAGAAACAGAGACACCUACAGGGGGCAGUAUAACACAACAA